This 3140-nucleotide ribosomal RNA is filed under the name Varroa destructor (honeybee mite). RNAcentral describes it as "eukaryotic LSU rRNA". It matches the Rfam family "Eukaryotic large subunit ribosomal RNA", at positions 414 to 3401 of the family's 3401-position model. The record is from RNAcentral. Lineage: Eukaryota; Metazoa; Arthropoda; Arachnida; Mesostigmata; Varroidae.
AGAAGACCUGCCCGCUAGACUUUAACUUCAAGCAGCAUAAAGAAUUGCCACUCAACAUCGUCAUGCAAUGUAACCUGAAGUUGCAAAAAGUAUUUCAUAAUAAUUUCUAUGCAUGGUAAGUGUCACGGAACAAAGAUUACAUAUAUAUANNNNNNNNNNNNNNNNNNNNUUUUGUUUUUUUUAAAGGAGCUAUGUGGACGACCGUCAUAAUUUUAGCUUUAGUGGCUGAAGAUAAUUUGAAACAAUGAUCUUGCCAUAUCGUUGCAUUGUACUACAGUAACUGAAACAAGCUAAAGCUACUUUAGAAAGCUUUGGUGCUAGGUGCCGCACCAAAGCUUUCAAAAAUCGGCCAUAAUUAUUGAGCGGGUAAAUAAUCUCCGCUAUUCAGAGAACAUUAUUGUAUGGACGACGUAUGGAAGCCAACAGAACUAAUGGUGCUUCGUAAUAAGACCGUUUGAGGAUGUAAUUUCUACCAUGCACUUGUUUAGCUUCAUAGCAUCCUCUCGUCCAAUAUGUUAUGCACAGACACAAUCUUGUGAUAUUCUGCACAUUUUCCAUUAUUUUUAUUGAUUAGGAACAUGCCUAAUUUGUCACACUACCUAAGCGUAGCAACUUUUUCAAAUUUGAUGGCCUUGUUUAGUCUGCCAUUAAUUCUGUUGUACGCAAAUCUCUGAAACCCAAGUUUAUUUUGUCUUAGUAAAGGUGUGGGUAUUGACAAAAUAGCGAUUCAUCUACCGCCGACGAACUCAGAGGUAGAUGUUCGUGGUAGAUAAUCUGGUCUGGGUAUAUGGGCGAAAGACAAAUCGAACCGCCUAGUAGCUGGUUCCUUCCGAAGUUUCCCUCAGGAUAGCUAGCGUACCCGUUUAGUUUCAUCCCGUAAACCGAAUGAUUAGAGGUACUGGGGCGUAUAUAGCCUCAUCCUAUUCUCAAACUUUUAAUGGGUGUGAAUGUUGUUUCUCUGUUGAAGAACAAUGCUGUAUGCUUAGUGGGCCAUUUUUGGUAAGCAGAACUGGCGCUGUGGGUCGUACGAAUUGUUGGGUUAAAAUGCCAAAAGCUGAAAUGCGCAUGUGAUCUACACACGGUGUUAGUUGCUGAAAGCAGAAGGACGGUGGCCGUGCAAGUCGGAAUCCGCCAGCGAGUCUGUAACAACUCAUCUGCCAAAGCAACUAACCCCAAAAAUGGACGGCGCUAUAGCAUUGUACGUAUACUCAACUUCUGACGUGUGACGCACCGGAGCGCUCAAGGAGUAGGAAGGUAAUGUGAUAGCGUCGAAGGAUGUUACUGUGAAGCAAUCUGGAGCUGUCACAUGUGCAGAUCAUGGUGCUAGUAGCAAGUACUCAAUGGAAAACCUUGAGCACUGAAGUUAGGGAUGGAUUCUAGAUGAACGGUAGUUGACCGUGGGUCAGUCGGUCCUAAGCUUAUAAUGAAACAUGUGUUGAAUGUGUACAAUAAUGUUUUAUCACUAUAAGCGAAAGGGAAUCAGGCUAAUAUUCCUGAACCUGUACACUGGGAGCACUACCUAGGUAUCAACCGUGGCAACACAAUUAUGCUCAAAAACACCAAGGGAUAAGCUAGGAAGAGCGGUCUCUUCUGUUUCGGUCACUGGUACCCAUGGAAUGAUAUAAAUUUGAGAUAAAGCUACGCAUAUUAGAGUAGUUUACUUGAUUCCCUUGGUCGCUGAAAAUUUGAGCGUGGUGAUUAUCUUGGUGGCAGUCCGUACUAAUGUCCGCAGGAGGUCUCCAAGGCGCGAAGCCUUUAGUGUCUAGAUUAAUAGAGGUUAAGGAAAGUCGGCAAAAUAGUACUGUAACUUUGGGAGAAGCGAUGGCUCUGAAGAUUUAUCCAGUCAGAUUAACAGUAGAAGUACUUAUGACAUUGUGUUGUCGCCGGAUGGACUUCGUGUCUGUCUGGAUGAUGACCGAAGUUGUGUUUAUGGACAUUGUUAGCUGUUUCGGUUUAUGUUGAUGUGAGUGCAAAUUAUCAACUACUUCAGAAUUGGCACGAACUGAGGGAAUCCGACUCUCUAAUUAAAACAAAGCAUUGUGAAGUCCAGUAAUUGGUUAUUAUAAAAUGUGAUUUCUGCCCAGUGUUCUGAAUGUCAAGGCGAAGAGUGUGAAGCGCGUGUAAACGGCGGGGGUAACUAUGACUCUCUUAUGGUAGCCAAAUGCCUCGUCACCUAAUUAGUGCCGCGCAUUAAUGGAUUAAGGACAUUCCCACUGUUCCUAUCUACUCUCUAAGGGAACGGGCUUUGAUUGAACGGCGGGAAAAGAAGAUCCUGUUGAGCUUAACUCUAGUCUGACUCUGGAGAGACAGGAGGUGUAGCAUAAGUGGGACGUUCAAUGAAAUACCACUACUACCGUUUCUUUACUUACUCAAUGAAGUAAAUACGGUCAUUCCAUGUUUUAGAAAAAAGCAUAGUAAUUUGUGUCAUUUAUAUUGAGGACAUAGUCAGGUGGGGAAUUUGACUAGGGCGGUACAUCUGUCAAAAAAUAACGCAGGUGUCCUAAGGCCAGCUCAGAGAACAGAAAUUUCGCAUAGAACAAAAGGGCAAAUGUCGGCUUGAUCUUAGCUUUCAAUACAAGUGUAGACGGUGAAAGCGUGGCCCCUCGAUCCUUUUGUUUUUAAGAAUUUUAAGCAAGAGAAAAGUUACCACAGGGAUAACUGGCUUGUGGCGGCCAAGCGUUCAUAGCGACGUCGCUCUUUGAUCCUUCGAGGUCGGCUCUUCCUAUCAUUGCGAAGCAGAAUUCGUCAAGUGUUGGAUUGUUUACCCGGUUGUUUAAUAGGGAACGGAAGCUCGGUUUAGACCGUCGUGAGAUAGGUUAGUUUUACCUUAACAUUCAUAGUUGUUAUUUGACGGUAAUCCUGCUUAGUCGCUGUUGUGUUUGAGCACGAACCAGGUGUGUUUCAUUAUUUCUGCGCUGAUCUGUUAUGGUCUCGGAUAUGUUGAAAUGACCAUAUUAGCACAACGUGUCAGUUUUCUGAAGCCUAAUUCGUUUCCAUUAAGAAGGCUUACUGUCGGCCUCCUUUCCUAAUCUAAUGUACAUAGAAAAACAAUCUGACAUCUGACACACAUCCAGCCAACAUCUACCCCGUUCUUUAUGUUACUGAUUUCCUCUGAUGUUACUAAUGAAAUCGUCGAAAUC